AGUUUGAUCAUGGCUCAGAUUGAACGCUGGCGGAAUGCUUUACACAUGCAAAUCGAGCGGCAGCGCGGGGCAACCUGGCGGCGAGCGGCGAACGGGUGAGUAACAUAUCGGAACGUAUCCUGUAAUGGGGGAUAACCACUCGAAAGAGUGGCUAAUACCGCAUACGAUCAAGAGAUGAAAGUGGGGGACCGCAAGGCCUCACGUUAUAGGAGCGGCCGAUAUCUGAUUAGCUAGUUGGGGGGGUAAAAGCCCACCAAGGCGAUGAUCAGUAGCUGGUCUGAGAGGACGACCAGCCACACUGGGACUGAGACACGGCCCAGACUCCUACGGGAGGCAGCAGUGGGGAAUUUUGGACAAUGGGGGAAACCCUGAUCCAGCCAUUCCGCGUGAGUGAAGAAGGCCUUCGGGUUGUAAAGCUCUUUCGGCAGGGAAGAAACGGUCCAGGCUAAUACUCUGGACUAAUGACGGUACCUGAAGAAGAAGCACCGGCUAACUACGUGCCAGCAGCCGCGGUAAUACGUAGGGUGCGAGCGUUAAUCGGAAUUACUGGGCGUAAAGCGUGCGCAGGCGGUUUUGUACGUUCGAUGUGAAAGCCCCGGGCUUAACCUGGGAACUGCGUUGAAAACGGCAAGACUAGAGUGUGUCAGAGGGGGGUAGAAUUCCACGUGUAGCAGUGAAAUGCGUAGAGAUGUGGAGGAAUACCGAUGGCGAAGGCAGCCCCCUGGGAUAACAUUGACGCUGAGGCACGAAAGCGUGGGGAGCAAAC
RNAcentral lists this ribosomal RNA (766 nucleotides) under uncultured bacterium. RNAcentral describes it as "bacterial SSU rRNA". It matches the Rfam family "Bacterial small subunit ribosomal RNA", at positions 10 to 773 of the family's 1533-position model. The record is from RNAcentral.